GUGAUAAAAUGAAGUUCAAGAACGGAAGUGGAACAUGGGGUAAAGUUUAGGGACAGGCGAUAAAAAUUACCCAAAUUUUGAGAGAAACCAGAGGAGAAAAUCUUGGUUGAAAUUUAUAGUUUGUGAUUUUCUUGAUUGAUAUUUGAUUAGUGUGAUUUGUGCUUAGGGUAGAAGGCUUGGGGUGUUGGUUGGGUUUGGGUUUUCCAUGAAGAGAGAAUAGAGGCCAAGAGAUAGGGUGAGAGAGAGAACAAAGUGAAGAGAGCAAGAAAUAG
RNAcentral lists this unclassified non-coding RNA (272 nucleotides) under Hevea brasiliensis (rubber tree). The record is from RNAcentral. Lineage: Eukaryota; Viridiplantae; Streptophyta; Magnoliopsida; Malpighiales; Euphorbiaceae.